Molecule: long non-coding RNA, 719 nt
Filed under: Dasypus novemcinctus (nine-banded armadillo)
Lineage: Eukaryota; Metazoa; Chordata; Mammalia; Cingulata; Dasypodidae
Description: lncRNA (ENSDNOG00000051666.1)
Source: RNAcentral
CACAUACACACAUACAGGCACACACACAGAUCCGGGUGGGGGGAGCGCCAGCGCGAGACAGCGUGAGCCUCCGAGAAAGCGCGAGACACGCCGGCGGGUGCAGCUCCACGGCGGCCGCUGCGCCCCGGCUAGAGCCCCGCGCCACCCGCCACCCGCCAGCGAGCGCCAGUCCCGGUUAUUUAUGCGGCGGCCGCGUCCGCCGGCUGCAGCUUUCUGCGCUCCCCCCACGCCCCCGCCCCGGCGCGCCCCGCUCUCGCAGCAGCAGCUGUGGGGACUCGGCGCGUGGGUGUGUUCUUUGGGGGCAUCUGCCUUGGCGGCACGGGUGCCACCUCCCGGGACGCUGCCCACGGCGUUCCCGGUCGCGGAAGAUGGGGCUGGAGUUUGCCAUCCCGGACCCUCUGUCAAAUUGCCUGUGAGCUUGAGUAUAUGAAAAGAGAGUAAUCUGAGACACAAAUCAGAAAGGUGGAUGAGAAGUUUUCUGUUUGAGAUGAUGAAAAAGGAGGGGCAAAGAAUAUUGGUGAUAGUAUCACUGCAUUUGAAUAUAAUUAAUACUACCGAAUUGUGUACUUGAAUUUGGUUCAAAUGCACUGCAUUUAAAGUGCAUUGCAGUGGUUACUACAAUUUUUUAAAAAAGGUGAACUGCUAAGAACAAAUUGCCAGUUUGAAGGGAUUAGGCUGAGUUGGAAUAGAAACUGAGGGAGGCAAGAAAAGAGUGAAAA